GCCGAAGUGGCGGAAUGGCAGACGCGGCGGACUCAAAAUCCGCUCUCAGCAAUGGGGUGUCGGUUCAAGUCCGACCUUCGGCAC
RNAcentral lists this transfer RNA (84 nucleotides) under compost metagenome. RNAcentral's name for it is "tRNA-Leu". It matches the Rfam family "tRNA". From Rfam's summary of the family: Transfer RNA (tRNA) molecules are approximately 80 nucleotides in length. Their secondary structure includes four short double-helical elements and three loops (D, anti-codon, and T loops). The record is from RNAcentral.